GCAUUUCUGGAAUUAAAAUAUCUUUCGUGUUUUAACAUUUGCUACAAGAUUUCCAGACAGUGCCUGAUAUAUGGGAACAACAGGAUACCAGUGCUUCAGAAUGGAAAUGUGACUACUUUAGAUGAGAUGCCAAGUUCAUUUAAUCAUUUAGAGGAAGCCAGCUAUGGUGGUGAGAGAAUAGCCCCCUGGAGAGGUCUAUG
RNAcentral lists this long non-coding RNA (200 nucleotides) under Mustela putorius furo (domestic ferret). Its description in RNAcentral is "lncRNA (ENSMPUG00000027716.1)". Lineage: Eukaryota; Metazoa; Chordata; Mammalia; Carnivora; Mustelidae. The record is from RNAcentral.